UGAGUAACACGUGGGCAAUCUGCCCUGCACUUCGGGAUAAGCCUGGGAAACUGGGUCUAAUACCGGAUAGGACCUUUAGGCGCAUGCCUUUUGGUGGAAAGCUUUUGCGGUGUGGGAUGGGCCCGCGGCCUAUCAGCUUGUUGGUGGGGUGAUGGCCUACCAAGGCGACGACGGGUAGCCGGCCUGAGAGGGUGUCCGGCCACACUGGGACUGAGAUACGGCCCAGACUCCUACGGGAGGCAGCAGUGGGGAAUAUUGCACAAUGGGCGCAAGCCUGAUGCAGCGACGCCGCGUGGGGGAUGACGGCCUUCGGGUUGUAAACCUCUUUCACCAUCGACGAAGGUCCGGGUUUUCUCGGAUUGACGGUAGGUGGAGAAGAAGCACCGGCCAACUACGUGCCAGCAGCCGCGGUAAUACGUAGGGUGCGAGCGUUGUCCGGAAUUACUGGGCGUAAAGAGCUCGUAGGUGGUUUGUCGCGUUGUUCGUGAAAUCUCACGGCUUAACUGUGAGCGUGCGGGCGAUACGGGCAGACUAGAGUACUGCAGGGGAGACUGGAAUUCCUGGUGUAGCGGUGGAAUGCGCAGAUAUCAGGAGGAACACCGGUGGCGAAGGCGGGUCUCUGGGCAGUAACUGACGCUGAGGAGCGAAAGCGUGGGGGAGCGAACAGGAUUAGAUACCCCUGGUAGUCCACGCCCGUAAACGGUGGGUACUAGGUGUGGGGUUUCCUUCCUUGGGAUCCGUGCCGUAGCUAACGCAUUUAAGUACCCCCGCCCUGGGGGAGUACGGCCGCAAAGGCUAAAACUCAAAAGGAAUUUGACGGGGGGCCCCGCACAA
RNAcentral lists this ribosomal RNA (834 nucleotides) under Mycobacterium sp. RNAcentral's name for it is "bacterial SSU rRNA". It matches the Rfam family "Bacterial small subunit ribosomal RNA", at positions 107 to 928 of the family's 1533-position model. Lineage: Bacteria; Bacillati; Actinomycetota; Actinomycetes; Mycobacteriales; Mycobacteriaceae. The record is from RNAcentral.